Hyaena hyaena (striped hyena) is the source of this 401-nucleotide long non-coding RNA. RefSeq lists it as uncharacterized. The transcript is spliced from 5 exons. Lineage: Eukaryota; Metazoa; Chordata; Mammalia; Carnivora; Hyaenidae. The record is from RefSeq and is a predicted model, not a curated record.
CGCGAAGUGCGGUCAGUGGCCCAGCAGUACUGGCGUAACCAGGGAGUUUGUUAGAAAGUUUGAGAAACUCUGACUUACAUAAAAGAAGCCAACAAAUAAGAGAUCUAAUCUAGAUGAGAGAAACCAGCAAAAAGAGAGGGAAGAGGAUCCAGGAGGGGAAGCAGGAUUAAUGCAGAAUCACCAAAGCGAGCUGGAUUGUGCAGAUGACUACGAGCUGCUGGGGUUGACAGAGCCACCAGAAGGAAGGUGCCCGGAUGAAGGAGAGCUGCCCACUGACCAGGAACACCCGCUGCCAAUUAUUAUAGCUGUUUGAAUCCUAGAACACGGUGGAAAUAAGGGCUUUACAGACGUGACACCUUGAAGCUGUCCUGAAUUUCCCACUGGCUGCAUUUGGGAUGAAG